AAUUUUGGACAAUGGGCGCAAGCCUGAUCCAGCAAUGCCGCGUGCAGGAUGAAGGCCUUCGGGUUGUAAACUGCUUUUGUACGGAACGAAACGGCCUUUUCUAAUACAAGGGGCUAAUGACGGUACCGUAAGAAUAAGCACCGGCUAACUACGUGCCAGCAGCCGCGGUAAUACGUAGGGUGCGAGCGUUAAUCGGAAUUACUGGGCGUAAAGCGUGCGCAGGCGGUUAUAUAAGACAGGUGUGAAAUCCCCGGGCUUAACCUGGGAAUUGCAUUUGUGACUGUAUAGCUGGAGUACGGCAGAGGGGGAUGGAAUUCCGCGUGUAGCAGUGAAAUGCGUAGAUAUGCGGAGGAACACCGAUGGCGAAGGCAAUCCCCUGGGCCUGUACUGACGCUCAUGCACGAAAGCGUGGGGAGCAAACAGGAUUAGAUACCCUGGUAGUCCACGCCCUAAACGAUGUCAACUGGUUGUUGGGUCUUCACUGACUCAGUAACGAAGCUAACGCGUGAAGUUGACCGCCUGGGGAGUACG
RNAcentral lists this ribosomal RNA (531 nucleotides) under uncultured bacterium. RNAcentral describes it as "bacterial SSU rRNA". It matches the Rfam family "Bacterial small subunit ribosomal RNA", at positions 360 to 884 of the family's 1533-position model. The record is from RNAcentral.